AAUGUUCCGAAUCGGGGAAGGAUGAGAAGCUUCGACCAAGGUUCGAGUCUCACGCAGUGAGACAACGCGCUUCAGCGCGGCCCGCAGGGU
RNAcentral lists this small RNA (90 nucleotides) under Serratia nematodiphila. RNAcentral describes it as "partial RtT sRNA". It matches the Rfam family "RtT RNA", at positions 1 to 92 of the family's 130-position model. Rfam says of the family: This family represents a bacterial cis-regulatory element known as RtT RNA. The record is from RNAcentral. Lineage: Bacteria; Pseudomonadati; Pseudomonadota; Gammaproteobacteria; Enterobacterales; Yersiniaceae.